GCUCGAUUGGCUCAGCCGGUAGAGCGUAGGUCUCAUAAUCCUAAGGUCGUGAGUUCGAGCCUCACAUCGAGCA
This is a transfer RNA of Ramazzottius varieornatus, 73 nucleotides long. It matches the Rfam family "tRNA". From Rfam's summary of the family: Transfer RNA (tRNA) molecules are approximately 80 nucleotides in length. Their secondary structure includes four short double-helical elements and three loops (D, anti-codon, and T loops). Further hydrogen bonds mediate the characteristic L-shaped molecular structure. tRNAs have two regions of fundamental functional importance: the anti-codon, which is responsible for specific mRNA codon recognition, and the 3' end, to which the tRNAs corresponding amino acid is attached (by aminoacyl-tRNA synthetases). tRNAs cope with the degeneracy of the genetic code in two manners: having more than one tRNA (with a specific anti-codon) for a particular amino acid; and 'wobble' base-pairing, i.e. permitting non-standard base-pairing at the 3rd anti-codon position. The record is from Rfam. NCBI's taxonomy places the organism in Eukaryota, Metazoa, Tardigrada, Eutardigrada, Parachela, Ramazzottiidae.